Molecule: small nucleolar RNA, 122 nt
Organism: Ochotona princeps (American pika)
Lineage: Eukaryota; Metazoa; Chordata; Mammalia; Lagomorpha; Ochotonidae
Source: Ensembl
UGUCCGCACACAGUGGCUUAUUCCUGCGUGGUUCAAGGAUAGGACAAUGGAAAUUCUGGGUCUGAAUUGCUGAUUUUGUCGGCUUUCUGCCUGUUAUCCCUGGUAUUUCUUUUUUUAAAAAA